AGUGAACGCUAGCGGUAGGCCUAACACAUGCAAGUCGAACGGCAGCACAGGUAAGAUUGCACUCUGGAUGGCGAGUGGCGGACGGGUGAGGGAUUCAACGGAAUCCGCCCAAUCGGGGGGGCUAACGUAAGGGAACAUACGCUAAUACCACAUACGCCCUUCGGGAUAUUUAGGGGGUUCAAAAGGCCUCUCGCUAUAGGAUGGGCCGGUGUCGGAUUAGCUAGUUGGUGGGGUAAUGGCCCACCAAGGCGACGAUCCGUAGCUGGUCUGAGAGGAUGAUCAGCCACACUGGAAGGGAGACACGGCCCAGACUCCUACGGGAGGCAGCAGUGGGGAAUAUUGGACAAUGGGCGCAAGCCUGAUCCAGCCAUACCGCGUGGGUGAAGAAGGCCUUUGGGUUGUGAAGCCCUUUUGUUGGUAAAGAAAUCUUUCAGGCUAAUACCCUGGGAGGAUGACGGUACCCAAAGAAUAAGCACCGGCUAACUUCGUG
This 490-nucleotide ribosomal RNA is filed under the name uncultured bacterium. Its description in RNAcentral is "partial 16S ribosomal RNA". It matches the Rfam family "Bacterial small subunit ribosomal RNA", at positions 29 to 507 of the family's 1533-position model. The record is from RNAcentral.